UCCGUAGGUGGAUAAUUAAGUCAGAGGUGAAAUCCUGCAGCUCAACUGUAGAAUUGCCUUUGAUACUGGUUAUCUUGAGUCAUUAUGAAGUGGUUAGAAUGUGUAGUGUAGCGGUGAAAUGCAUAGAUAUUACACAGAAUACCGAUUACGAAGGCAGAUCACUAAUAAUGUACUGACACUGAGGGACGAAAGCGUGGGGAGCGAACAGGAUUAGAUACCCUGGUAGUCC
RNAcentral lists this ribosomal RNA (229 nucleotides) under uncultured bacterium. RNAcentral's name for it is "partial 16S ribosomal RNA". It matches the Rfam family "Bacterial small subunit ribosomal RNA", at positions 568 to 796 of the family's 1533-position model. The record is from RNAcentral.